GAGGUAGUGACAAGAAAUAACAAUACAGGGCUUAAGUCUUGUAAUUGGAAUGAUGGUGCCUUAAACCCUCACCAGAGUACCAAUUGGAGGGCAAGUCUGGUGCCAGCAGCCGCGGUAAUUCCAGCUCCAAUAGCGUAUAUUAAACUUGUUGCAGUUAAAAAGCUCGUAGUUGAAUUUCAGCGUUUCCUUUUCUUUGCUUUGUCGCUUUGAUUUGGUUUCGCUUUUGUUUUUACUUUGAGAAAAUUAGAGUGUUUCAAGCAGACUUUUGUCUUGAAUACUUCAGCAUGGAAUAAUAGAGUAGGACCGUAGUCCUAUUUUGUUGGUUUUGUGGACUACUGUAAUGGUUAAUAGGAACGGUUGGGGGCAUUCGUAUUUGACUGUCAGAGGUGAAAUUCUUAGAUUUGUCAAAGACGAACUACUGCGAAAGCAUUUGCCAAGGACGUUUUCAUUAAUCAAGAACGAAAGUUAGGGGAUCGAAGA
RNAcentral lists this ribosomal RNA (480 nucleotides) under Babesia sp. Coco. RNAcentral's name for it is "SSU rRNA". It matches the Rfam family "Eukaryotic small subunit ribosomal RNA", at positions 461 to 1004 of the family's 1831-position model. The record is from RNAcentral. Lineage: Eukaryota; Apicomplexa; Aconoidasida; Piroplasmida; Babesiidae.